This is a long non-coding RNA of Gopherus evgoodei (Goodes thornscrub tortoise), 1441 nucleotides long. RefSeq lists it as uncharacterized. The record is from RefSeq and is a predicted model, not a curated record. The transcript is spliced from 3 exons. NCBI's taxonomy places the organism in Eukaryota, Metazoa, Chordata, Testudines, Testudinidae.
CAGUUUUGUGGGUUCCCUUUGUAGCUCUUUGCAGUUUGUCUGGGACUUAACUAUCUUUAGUAAUUUUGUGUCUGCGAAUUUUGCCACCUCGCGGUUUACCCCUUUUUGCAGAUCUUUUGUACAUCUGUCCCAGUACAGAUCCCUGAGGGACCUCGCUGUUUACCUCUGUCCAUUCUGAACCCUGAAUGGAGAUCAGGAGUACAUGAAGGAUCUGAGCCUUCCAAUCAUCUCUGCUCCUGACACAGCCAGGAGAAAGCGCAGAAGGGCCGGAGAAGAAUGACUUCAAACAGCCCUGCAGAGAGAGAACCUCCGGCAGAGAUGAGCUCGCUCAGCGAGGAACUCGCCAAAGAGCACGUGCCUUGGAGCGACUCCACCGAAUUACAGCAUUUUGUUCUCCAGGAACCAGUAUUUCAUUCUUUUCCGAGCUCGAGUUUAGUCCUGGAUUUCCAAUGGACAACUUGGGGUUUGGGGCAUCGGGUUGGAAAUACAUGAGCUCCCCCUUGGUGCCAGCGGCAAGAAAGUGAAGCAAUUUUAGAGAGUUGGUGCUUCCCAUCGCUGGGUGCCAGCUGGGGCAGAUCCACCAGCGUCUCCUUUAUGCAAAUAAGCUGUAAAAAUACCUCUGGAGAAACUGCUUGCGGCAUUAAUGCUCUCCCGGGGCAUUCCGCUUGGAGCUGAUUAAUCACAGCGGCACAGGCCUGCUGGCAUUUGGUUUGAAAUGGGCCGAGUCGACAGUGCAGCAAGGGAAGAAAUGAACCACAGGGAGGGAAGUAAUUGGAGAAAAUGGGGGGAGGAAUUUGAGCAGGGGUAGCAAAGUCCUGUUGAUUCAGAAGGAAGCGGAUUAGCACAGCUGGGGCCGGGGGCAGCCCAGGGCUGGGAUAGCAGUGAGGCCUGGGGUCGGGACUGAGGGGUUCUGGCAGAGCAGGGAGCUCAGGGCUGGGGGACCCUGGCAGAGCGGGGAGCUUGGGGCUGGGAGAGCAGUGAGGCCGGGGGUCGGGACUGAGGGAUCCUGGCAGAGCAGGGAGCUCAGGGCUAGGGGACCCUGGCAGAGUGGGGAGCUUGGGGCUGGGAGAGCAGUGAGGUCAGGGGUUGGGAUUAAGGGGCCCUGGCAGAGCGGGGAGUACAGGGCUGGGGUAGCAGUGAGGCCGGGGGUCGGGACUGGGUGUCCUGGAAGAGCAGGGAGCUUGGGGCUGGUGGGGUCUUGGCAGAGCAGGAAGCUCAGAGCUGGGAGAGCAGUGAGGUUGGGACUGAGGGGCCCUGGCAGAGUGGGGAGCUUGGGGCUGGGAGAGCAGUGAGGCCGGGGAUCAGGACUGAGGGGUCCUGGCAGAGCAGGGAGCUCAGGGCUGGGGGGCCUGGCAGAGCGGGGAGCUUGGGGCUGGGAGAGCAGUGAGGCCGGGGGUUGGGAUUAAGGGGCCCUGGCAGAGCAGGGAGCUCAGGGCUGGGG